RNAcentral lists this ribosomal RNA (1262 nucleotides) under Escherichia coli. RNAcentral describes it as "partial 23S ribosomal RNA". It matches the Rfam family "Bacterial large subunit ribosomal RNA", at positions 1555 to 2798 of the family's 2925-position model. Lineage: Bacteria; Pseudomonadati; Pseudomonadota; Gammaproteobacteria; Enterobacterales; Enterobacteriaceae. The record is from RNAcentral.
GCUGAGGCGUGAUGACGAGGCACUACGGUGCUGAAGCAACAAAUGCCCUGCUUCCAGGAAAAGCCUCUAAGCAUCAGGUAACAUCAAAUCGUACCCCAAACCGACACAGGUGGUCAGGUAGAGAAUACCAAGGCGCUUGAGAGAACUCGGGUGAAGGAACUAGGCAAAAUGGUGCCGUAACUUCGGGAGAAGGCACGCUGAUAUGUAGGUGAAGUCCCUCGCGGAUGGAGCUGAAAUCAGUCGAAGAUACCAGCUGGCUGCAACUGUUUAUUAAAAACACAGCACUGUGCAAACACGAAAGUGGACGUAUACGGUGUGACGCCUGCCCGGUGCCGGAAGGUUAAUUGAUGGGGUCAGCGCAAGCGAAGCUCUUGAUCGAAGCCCCGGUAAACGGCGGCCGUAACUAUAACGGUCCUAAGGUAGCGAAAUUCCUUGUCGGGUAAGUUCCGACCUGCACGAAUGGCGUAAUGAUGGCCAGGCUGUCUCCACCCGAGACUCAGUGAAAUUGAACUCGCUGUGAAGAUGCAGUGUACCCGCGGCAAGACGGAAAGACCCCGUGAACCUUUACUAUAGCUUGACACUGAACAUUGAGCCUUGAUGUGUAGGAUAGGUGGGAGGCUUAGAAGUGUGGACGCCAGUCUGCAUGGAGCCGACCUUGAAAUACCACCCUUUAAUGUUUGAUGUUCUAACGUUGACCCGUAAUCCGGGUUGCGGACAGUGUCUGGUGGGUAGUUUGACUGGGGCGGUCUCCUCCUAAAGAGUAACGGAGGAGCACGAAGGUUGGCUAAUCCUGGUCGGACAUCAGGAGGUUAGUGCAAUGGCAUAAGCCAGCUUGACUGCGAGCGUGACGGCGCGAGCAGGUGCGAAAGCAGGUCAUAGUGAUCCGGUGGUUCUGAAUGGAAGGGCCAUCGCUCAACGGAUAAAAGGUACUCCGGGGAUAACAGGCUGAUACCGCCCAAGAGUUCAUAUCGACGGCGGUGUUUGGCACCUCGAUGUCGGCUCAUCACAUCCUGGGGCUGAAGUAGGUCCCAAGGGUAUGGCUGUUCGCCAUUUAAAGUGGUACGCGAGCUGGGUUUAGAACGUCGUGAGACAGUUCGGUCCCUAUCUGCCGUGGGCGCUGGAGAACUGAGGGGGGCUGCUCCUAGUACGAGAGGACCGGAGUGGACGCAUCACUGGUGUUCGGGUUGUCAUGCCAAUGGCACUGCCCGGUAGCUAAAUGCGGAAGAGAUAAGUGCUGAAAGCAUCUAAGCACGAAACUUGCC